This 427-nucleotide ribosomal RNA is filed under the name Bacteroidota bacterium. RNAcentral describes it as "Bacteroidetes bacterium partial 16S ribosomal RNA". It matches the Rfam family "Bacterial small subunit ribosomal RNA", at positions 355 to 774 of the family's 1533-position model. Lineage: Bacteria; Pseudomonadati; Bacteroidota. The record is from RNAcentral.
UAGGGAAUCUUUCGCAAUGGACGCAAGCCUGACGGAGCAACGCCGCGUGAGUGAAGAAGGACUUCGGUUCGUAAAACUCUGUUGUUAGAGAAGAACAGCGCAUAGAGUAACUGUUAUGCGUGUGACGGUAUCUAACCAGAAAGCCACGGCUAACUACGUGCCAGCAGCCGCGGUAAUACGUAGGUGGCAAGCGUUGUCCGGAUUUAUUGGGCGUAAAGCGAGCGCAGGCGGUCAAUUAAGUCUGAUGUGAAAGCCCCCGGCUCAACCGGGGAGGGUCAUUGGAAACUGGUUGACUGGAGUGCAGAAGAGGAGAGUGGAAUUCCAUGUGUAGCGGUGAAAUGCGUAGAUAUAUGGAGGAACACCAGUGGCGAAGGCGACUCUCUGGUCUGUAACUGACGCUGAGGCUCGAAAGCGUGGGUAGCAAACA